Molecule: long non-coding RNA, 246 nt
Organism: Leptinotarsa decemlineata (Colorado potato beetle)
Lineage: Eukaryota; Metazoa; Arthropoda; Insecta; Coleoptera; Chrysomelidae
Source: RefSeq, a predicted model, not a curated record
AUUCCGAAGUUACUUAACGAUUGCAGUCAGUGGGCAAGAUGUUGGUCCCAGUGAUACUUUUCUUACUUGCAAGUUCUAUUUUUGAUGUACAGUGCCAAAAUAAUGAUGUUGAUUCACAAAAGCAAUUGCCGAGACUGAUUUCGGCGCUUGAUGCUUCAACUGGAAACGACAAGAGUUCAGUUUCAAAAAUACCUGCUGAGAAUGAUGGAAUAGAGAAAGUCAUUGAAACCAGUGGUGAAUCACGCC